This 1026-nucleotide long non-coding RNA is filed under the name Canis lupus familiaris (dog). RNAcentral's name for it is "lncRNA (ENSCAFG00040024315.1)". Lineage: Eukaryota; Metazoa; Chordata; Mammalia; Carnivora; Canidae. The record is from RNAcentral.
CAGCGUAUCAAUGAGCACUUACACGAUUCUCCUCUUUCCUGUUUACUGCAAAUUUUGCCUUAAGGCUUCUCGUCAUCAGGACUCAGAAGCCACUAAUUACAAAGGAAAGGGCAGUUAGUUGGCACAUUUUUCUGUCUUGAAGCAGUGCUUUCAGAUAAGAAUUAAUGUAAAUCUGCUUUUGUAAAUUGCAACUUUAAAUUAAACUGACUCAAAUUUACAACAGCUUUGUAUACCAGAAGAGGUUUUGGUAAGAGUUGAACAUUUUUAAACAGAAACUUUAAAGCCUCACCAACAGAUUGUGGAUUAAUUCACACGCACACACAUAAACGAGUGUGCGCACACGCACACACUAAUUAACUAAAUUAGAACACACACACACAAAUAGCUAAAUCGGAAACCAGUUUGCAAUUUUAUAUAACUACUAAUUAUUAAUGAGCAAAAUUCAUUUUUCUUUUAAUAUUUAAAAUAUACUCUCUAUACCCCUGAAAUGCAUUAAUAGAGGUUAACAAUUGUGUCUCAUGCCUAGAUUUAACAUUUUUGGCAAAUCCAAAAUCCUUUUAACUCACAUCUACAUUAGCAGUUAUUAGUUGACUUUUACUAAUAGAUACACCUUUAUGAUGGUGUUUUUGUAGAAACAUAAGUAGUCCAAUAGUGGCAUUUCUUGCAGUUUUGUACAGUAUUUCAGUAUAGUGCAUAAAUAAGUAUGUUCAUAAAAUCAAAUAAAAGGAGUAUCUUAUGGAAAUAAGAAAAAUCACAACAAAAAUUGCUAUUCAUUUGCCUCGUUUAAAUUUCAUUUUUUUUCAUUUUCUUUGUUUUAGUGUGAUUCUAUUAUGUGCUUUGCAUGACUGUAUUAAUACCAAGGUCACAAAAUGCAUCUUAUUAACAGAAUUUGCCGUGAAGACAGCCUCGACAUUAAAAAUUCCCUCACCAAAGGAUUGUAAAGGAGCCAUGCAAGAGAGAAAGGAAGCAAAAAAAGAAAAAAGGCAAUUUAAAGCUACCACUGAUGUACUCAACCUGUGGCACUAA